CAAAUUAAACCUCCUCCUCUUCUCUUCCGGACUAUGCCCUUCCGAAUGAGACUUGGGCUCCUCAGGGUGCCUCUUCUGCGACAUUAUGACAACCCAAAAGAAAACCAAAUCCCAGCCCCAAAAAAAGGAGCAACAAGAACACUAUCUGUUGCAUCCAUCAUCUGGGUUUGGCCGCAUCUGGUUUGCCUCUUCGCUCAUCUUCCAGGCUCGUCUUUUUGGCAGUGAAAUCGCAU
RNAcentral lists this unclassified non-coding RNA (233 nucleotides) under Hevea brasiliensis (rubber tree). Lineage: Eukaryota; Viridiplantae; Streptophyta; Magnoliopsida; Malpighiales; Euphorbiaceae. The record is from RNAcentral.